GAUGAAGAACGUAGCGAAAUGCGAUAAGUAGUGUGAAUUGCAGAAUUCAGUGAAUCAUCGAAUCUUUGAACGCACAUUGCGCCCUUUGGUAUUCCUUAGGGCAUGCCUGUUCGAGCGUCAUUUAAACCUUCAAGCUCUGCUUGGUGUUGGGUGUUUGUCUCGCCUCUGCGUGUAGACUCGCCUCAAAACAAUUGGCAGCCGGCGUAUUGAUUUCGGAGCGCAGUACAUCUCGCGCUUUGCACUCAUAACGACGACGUCCAAAAGUACAUUUUUACACUCUUGACCUCGGAUCAGGUAGGGAUACCCGCUGAACUUAAGCAUAUCAAUAAGCGGAGGA
Molecule: unclassified non-coding RNA, 337 nt
Filed under: soil metagenome
Description: partial contains 5.8S ribosomal RNA, internal transcribed spacer 2, and large subunit ribosomal RNA
Rfam family: 5.8S ribosomal RNA (bases 1-120)
Source: RNAcentral